Vicia villosa (hairy vetch) is the source of this 1785-nucleotide long non-coding RNA. RefSeq lists it as uncharacterized. The record is from RefSeq and is a predicted model, not a curated record. The transcript is spliced from 3 exons. Lineage: Eukaryota; Viridiplantae; Streptophyta; Magnoliopsida; Fabales; Fabaceae.
UGUGUGUUUGGUUUUGUUUGUCAUGCCUAUUUUCGUGUAAACAUGUAAUGGUGUAUUUGUCUUGUGUUUUCCCGGUAACGAAGCUGGUGAAAAUCUUAAAUGCUCUGUAUUGCAGAUCUGUGUUGCGGUUAUGUUGCUGUUAUGUGUUGUUUGUAGAUGAAAUGAACAAGAGUUAGUUUCUUUGAAAAGAAUUUUGUGGAUCUAGCAGGAACCUGAUGUGAUGCAUUUUUAUGCUCAGUCAAUGAUGUUAUUGCUGCUCGUAUAUGAAUACAUGGAGAACGAUAGUCUUGCUCGCACUAUUUUCGGUAAGGGCUUCAUGUAACAGGUUUUGGUUGUCUAUAUGUUUCUGAUAAGUUAAAAUCAAACUUUAAAAAACAUUUUUUCUUCAUACAGUGCACAGGUUUGAAAUUCUUGAUUAUUUAUAUUGACUUUCACCCUUUCCGCCUCACAGAUGCUAAAUUUUCUUUGGUAUCUAAAUCUGUACAUAGAGAGAUUGGACUCGGAAUUGGUAACAAACUGUGGAAUAUGACGAGACAUUUUAUAUCGAAGUUCAGUCCCGAAGGAUUUAAAUUGAUUAUGCAUUCUAAGAAGCUUAUUCCAGAAUAUUAUUAUUCAUGAAGAUUUGAGCAACGUCAAACUCCCUCCUUUGCAUGAUCUGAGUUAUCAGAUUAUUAAAUGAUCAACAUGUGUUCUGGAUAUUUUGUAUGAAUUAUUGCGGACAUUACACCCAGUGUCUGUAUCUAUAGUUUCUUCCUCUGACAGCAAAUUCUCCGAGGUAUGACAACUCUUUUUUUGGUUUUUCAAUACAUAAGAUACAUCAAGGUUGAUUUUCUUAAUACGUGUUAUCAGCGAUUAAGCAAAACAUUUUACUCCCCAUAUAGUCUGUUUUUGCGAUUAACUUUUUCAAAAACGUGAUUGCAGUCGGUAUACGAAAUGAUGAAGAUCAAAUAUGAGGAUCCAAUCUGUUGCAGAUAUAAUUCUUCAAAAAAUAAAUUUUUGGUUGAGAUGCUUGAGAUUGUGGAAGCCUCUGAAGAUGAAAUCACUUCUACAUUAUAUUUUUGGUCGGUGAUGAAAAGGUGAAUCAGAUGGAGGUUUGAAAAGCUGGUUGCCUAAGAAAGACCUGCAUUGAUAUGCUUUUAUUUGAUUAAUUGAUUUUUAUUUAGGGUCUUUUGGAAGCAAACAGCUAGAGCAAUUCAGCCGGUGCUUGAGUUUGGAGAGCCAAGAAUGGUUGUGGCAGAUGGCCAUUCAAACCUUUUAAAGUGUCGUCUAGCAGCUACCAUUAGGUGCCUUUGUCAUCCAAGUGCACACGUCCGAACUCUGAGCGUGUCAAUUCUUCGCCAUAUUUUGAAUACCUGCUCAAUCAGGUGUAGUCCUAAACCACCGCGAAUUAACGGCAACCACAACCCCUCUUAUCCAUACUUCAAGUUGGACGUUGUUAAUUGGCAAGCUGACAUAGAAAAAUGCCUGUCAUGUGAAGCUCACAACAGAAUUUCAGCUGGAUUACCUAUUAAGUUUCUUGACACUGCUGCCAAAGAAUGUGUCAGACUAUAAGAAAUGAAAAUGAAAAACCAAUUUAGUCUGUGACCAUUUUUCACUAGACUUACAGAGAAACUAUUUAUGAUUUUGGAACUAACGGGUUUGCGUAUACGCAAACAUCAUUCUGUUAGUCUGUCAUAAAAAACCGCAGUCAUGAUUCCAGUUUGUUUAUAGAAAGCUCAUUUUGUAUUAUGUAUGUGCAAAUGAGUGUGCUUUAACUAACAGACAUGUACACUUGUAAAGAAAAGA